This 497-nucleotide ribosomal RNA is filed under the name uncultured bacterium. Its description in RNAcentral is "partial 16S ribosomal RNA". It matches the Rfam family "Bacterial small subunit ribosomal RNA", at positions 28 to 507 of the family's 1533-position model. The record is from RNAcentral.
GAUGAACGCUGGCGGCGUGCCUAAUACAUGCAAGUCGAGCGAACAGACGAGGAGCUUGCUCCUCUGACGUUAGCGGCGGACGGGUGAGUAACACGUGGAUAACCUACCUAUAAGACUGGGAUAACUUCGGGAAACCGGAGCUAAUACCGGAUAAUAUAUUGAACCGCAUGGUUCAAUAGUGAAAGACGGUUUUGCUGUCACUUAUAGAUGGAUCCGCGCCGCAUUAGCUAGUUGGUAAGGUAACGGCUUAUCAAGGCAACGAUGCGUAGCCGACCUGAGAGGGUGAUCGGCCACACUGGAACUGAGCCGCGGUCCAGACUCCUACGAGAGGCAGCAGUAGGGAAUCUUCCGCAAUGGGCGAAAGCUUGACGGAGCAACGCCGCGUGAGUGAUGAAGGUCUUCGGAUCGUAAAACUCUGUUAUUAGGGAAGAACAAAUGUGUAAGUAACUAUGCACGUCUUGACGGUACCUAAUCAGAAAGCCACGGCUAACUACGUG